RNAcentral lists this non-coding RNA (25 nucleotides) under Cricetulus griseus (Chinese hamster). The record is from RNAcentral. Lineage: Eukaryota; Metazoa; Chordata; Mammalia; Rodentia; Cricetidae.
AGGGGAACUUGGACAGUUGGGUCAG